UACCGGUCGGCGACGCUACUGCUUUGGGUACUUUCAGGACCCGUCUUGAAACACGGACCAAGGAGUCUAACAUGCGCGCGAGUCAUUGGGAAUAACUCAAGCCCAAAGGCGCAAUGAAAGUGAAGGUCGGCCUCGCGCCGACCGAGGGAGGAUGGGCCGCGUUCUCGUGACGCGGUCCCGCACUCCCGGGGCGUCUCGUUCUCAUCGCGAGGAGAGGCGCACCCAGAGCGCACACGUU
Molecule: ribosomal RNA, 238 nt
Filed under: Yamatarotes bicolor
Lineage: Eukaryota; Metazoa; Arthropoda; Insecta; Hymenoptera; Ichneumonidae
Description: partial large subunit ribosomal RNA
Rfam family: Eukaryotic large subunit ribosomal RNA
Source: RNAcentral